UUCAAUUCUGGCUCAGAACGAACGCUGGCGGCGCGUUUAAGCAUGCAAGUCGAGCGGCAAGGGCCUUCGGGCCCCUAGAGCGGCGGACGGGUGAGUAACACGUGGACAAUCUGCCCCCCGGCCCGGGAUAGCCCAGGGAAACCUGGAUUAAUACCGGAUGAGACGGGACCCGCGAUGGCGGGACCCGGGAAAGGCGCUGCGGCGCCGCCGGGGGAUGAGUCUGCGUCCCAUUAGCUAGACGGCGGGGUAACGGCCCACCGUGGCGACGAUGGGUAGCCGGCCUGAGAGGGUGGACGGCCACAUUGGAACUGAGACACGGUCCAGACUCCUACGGGAGGCAGCAGCUAAGAAUCUUCCGCAAUGGGCGAAAGCCUGACGGAGCGACGCUGCGUGAACGAAGAAGGCCGUGAGGUUGUAAAGUUCUUUUCGGGAGGGGGAACAACCGUGGCAGGGAAUGGCCGCGGGAUGACGUGAAUCCCGGAAUAAGCCCCGGCUAACUACGUGCCAGCAGCAGC
This 515-nucleotide ribosomal RNA is filed under the name uncultured bacterium. Its description in RNAcentral is "bacterial SSU rRNA". It matches the Rfam family "Bacterial small subunit ribosomal RNA", at positions 12 to 518 of the family's 1533-position model. The record is from RNAcentral.